RNAcentral lists this ribosomal RNA (618 nucleotides) under uncultured bacterium. RNAcentral's name for it is "bacterial SSU rRNA". It matches the Rfam family "Bacterial small subunit ribosomal RNA", at positions 338 to 951 of the family's 1533-position model. The record is from RNAcentral.
CCUACGGGAGGCAGCAGUGGGGAAUUUUGGACAAUGGGCGCAAGCCUGAUCCAGCAAUGCCGCGUGAGUGAAGAAGGCCUUCGGGUUGUAAAGCUCUUUUGUCAGGGAAGAAACGGUGAGGGCUAAUAUCUCUUGCUAAUGACGGUACCUGAAGAAUAAGCACCGGCUAACUACGUGCCAGCAGCCGCGGUAAUACGUAGGGUGCAAGCGUUAAUCGGAAUUACUGGGCGUAAAGCGUGCGCAGGCGGUUUUGUAAGUCUGUCGUGAAAUCCCCGGGCUCAACCUGGGAAUUGCGAUGGAGACUGCAAGGCUAGAAUCUGGCAGAGGGGGGUAGAAUUCCACGUGUAGCAGUGAAAUGCGUAGAGAUGUGGAGGAACACCGAUGGCGAAGGCAGCCCCCUGGGUCAAGAUUGACGCUCAUGCACGAAAGCGUGGGGAGCAAACAGAAUUAGAUACCCUGGUAGUCCACGCCCUAAACGAUGUCUACUAGUUGUCGGGUUUUAAUACUUGGUAACGCAGCUAACGCGUGAAGUAGACCGCCUGGGGAGUCGGUCGCGAAGNUUAAACUUAAAUUGAAUUGACCGGNGUUGNGAGNGCGAGACGACGACGAGGGAGGAGG